UGAGGAAUAUUGGUCAAUGGGCGGGAGCCUGAACCAGCCAAGUCGCGUGAGGGAAGACGGUCUUACGGAUUGUAAACCUCUUUUGCCGGGGAGCAAAGGGCGCCACGCGUGGCGUUUUCGAGAGUACCCGGAGAAAAAGCAUCGGCUAACUCCGUGCCAGCAGCCGCGGUAAUACGGAGGAUGCGAGCGUUAUCCGGAUUUAUUGGGUUUAAAGGGUGCGUAGGCGGGCCGGUAAGUCAGCGGUAAAAGUAGCGGGGCUCAACCCCGUCGAGCCGUUGAAACCUGCCGGUCUUGAGUGGGCGAGAAGUGCGCGGAAUGCGUGGUGUAGCGGUGAAAUGCAUAGAUAUCACGCAGAACCCCGAUUGCGAAGGCAGCGCACCGGCGCCCGACUGACGCUGAAGCACGAAAGCGUGGGGAUCGAACAGGAUUAGAUACC
Molecule: ribosomal RNA, 436 nt
Filed under: uncultured bacterium
Lineage: Bacteria
Description: bacterial SSU rRNA
Rfam family: Bacterial small subunit ribosomal RNA
Source: RNAcentral